Molecule: ribosomal RNA, 460 nt
Filed under: uncultured bacterium
Lineage: Bacteria
Description: partial 16S ribosomal RNA
Rfam family: Bacterial small subunit ribosomal RNA
Source: RNAcentral
CCUACGGGUGGCAGCAGUGAGGAAUAUUGGUCAAUGGACGAGAGUCUGAACCAGCCAAGUAGCGUGAAGGAUGACUGCCCUAUGGGUUGUAAACUUCUUUUAUAUGGGAAUAAAAUGUUCCUAGUGUGGGAUUUUGUAUGUACCAUAUGACUACGGAUCGGCUAACGCGGGACCAGCAGCCGCGGUAAUACGGAGGAUCCGAGCGUUAGCCGGAUUUAUUGGGUUUAAAGGGAGCGUAGGUGGAUUGUUAUGUCAGUUGUGAAAGUUUGUGGCUCAACCGUAACAUUGCAGUUGAAACUGGCAGUCUUGAGUACAGGAGAGGUGAGCGGAAUUCGUGGUGUAGCGGUGAAAUGCUUAGAUAUCACGAAGAACUCCGAUUGCGAAGGCAGCUCACUGGACUGCAACUGACACUGAGGCUCGAAAGUGUGGGUAUCAAACAGGAUUAGAUACCCGGGUAGUC